Molecule: ribosomal RNA, 483 nt
Filed under: uncultured bacterium
Lineage: Bacteria
Description: partial 16S ribosomal RNA
Rfam family: Bacterial small subunit ribosomal RNA
Source: RNAcentral
GACGAACGCUGGCGGCGUGCUUAACACAUGCAAGUCGAACGAUGAAGCUGGAGCUUGCUCCGGUGGAUUAGUGGCGAACGGGUGAGUAACACGUGAGCAAUCUGCCCUUGACUCUGGGAUAACUGCGGGAAACUGCAGCUAAUACCGGAUACGAGGCUCGAAGGCAUCUUCGGGUCUGGAAAGAAUUUCGGUCAAGGAUGAGCUCGCGGCCUACCAGCUUGUUGGUGAGGUAAUGGCUCACCAAGGCGACGACGGGUAGCCGGCCUGAGAGGGUGACCGGCCACACUGGGACUGAGACACGGCCCAGACUCCUAUGGGAGGCAGCAGUGGGGAAUAUUGCACAAUGGGCGAAAGCCUGAUGCAGCAACGCCGCGUGAGGGAUGAAGGCCUUCGGGUUGUAAACCUCUUUUAGCAGGGAAGAAGCGAAAGUGACGGUACCUGCAGAAAAAGCACCGGCUAACUACGUGCCAGCCGCCGCAGUAA